AGAAUCAACGCUGGCGGCGUGCCUAACACAUGCAAGUCGAACGAGAAAGGGGCUUCGGCCCUGAGUACAGUGGCGCACGGGUGAGUAACACGUGACUGACCUACCCUUGAGUGGGGGAUAACUUCGGGAAACCGAGGCUAAUACCGCAUAAUACCUACGGGUCAAAGGAGUAAUUCGCUUAAGGAGGGGGUCGCGGCAGAUUAGUUAGUUGGCGGGGUAAUGGCCCACCAAGACAGUGAUCUGUAU
Molecule: ribosomal RNA, 246 nt
Filed under: uncultured bacterium
Lineage: Bacteria
Description: partial small subunit ribosomal RNA
Rfam family: Bacterial small subunit ribosomal RNA
Source: RNAcentral